GACGAACGCUGGCGGCGUGCCUAAUACAUGCAAGUCGAACGCUUCUUUCCUCCCGAGUGCUUGCACUCAAUUGGAAAGAGGAGUGGCGGACGGGUGAGUAACAGGUGGGUAACCUACCCAUCAGAGGGGGAUAACACUUGGAAACAGGUGCUAAUACCGCAUAACAGUUUAUGCCGCAUGGCAUAAGAGUGAAAGGCGCUUUCGGGUGUCGCUGAUGGAUGGACCCGCGGUGCGUUAGCUAGUUGGUGAGGUAACGGCUCACCAAGGCCACGAUGCAUAGCCGACCUGAGAGGGUGAUCGGCCACACUGGGACUGAGACACGGCCCAGACUCCUACGGGAGGCAGCAGUAGGGAAUCUUCGGCAAUGGACGAAAGUCUGACCGAGCAACGCCGCGUGAGUGAAGAAGGUUUUCGGAUCGUAAAACUCUGUUGUUAGAGAAGAACAAGGACGUUAGUAACUGAACGUCCCCUGACGGUAUCUAACCAGAAAGCCACGGCUAACUACGU
This 507-nucleotide ribosomal RNA is filed under the name uncultured bacterium. RNAcentral describes it as "partial 16S ribosomal RNA". It matches the Rfam family "Bacterial small subunit ribosomal RNA", at positions 28 to 506 of the family's 1533-position model. The record is from RNAcentral.